Schistocerca cancellata (South American locust) is the source of this 280-nucleotide long non-coding RNA. RefSeq lists it as uncharacterized. NCBI's taxonomy places the organism in Eukaryota, Metazoa, Arthropoda, Insecta, Orthoptera, Acrididae. The record is from RefSeq and is a predicted model, not a curated record. The transcript is spliced from 3 exons.
GAAAAUUGCAUCUCAACAAACCUGUCUUUGGCAAGUACCUGAACUACAUUUCAGUCACUCAGUAAAGUGAUAACUCAAAAUAUCAUUGUCAACAGAUCUGAAGAAAUUGCCACUGCGUCUUUAGACCGUUUUCGUCAGACGAGAGACACAGUUCUGACUCUGAUUACUGGUUGCUGUACGUAUCUAUCCACAUCAAGGCUGUUUUUGAGAGAGACUCGUGAAGAUUCAAGACAGUUCUUAGAGGAUUUGCAGUUUAAAAGUGAAAUAAUUGUGAAAUAAG